This is a long non-coding RNA of Labeo rohita (rohu), 230 nucleotides long. RefSeq lists it as uncharacterized. NCBI's taxonomy places the organism in Eukaryota, Metazoa, Chordata, Actinopteri, Cypriniformes, Cyprinidae. The record is from RefSeq and is a predicted model, not a curated record. The transcript is spliced from 2 exons.
UGGACGUCUCCUUUAAUUUAUAACCCAGGGGUGCUGGGUUAGCAACGCGGACCCGAGGGAGCAUGCACAUCACCAAUGCGAGAAGCCGCCAUUUUCUCAGCGUCUGCAGAUGGAAGCGAGUGAAGGACGAUUUUCGAACUCAAACCAACUUUGGAGUUAACAACACAGAAGCCUGUGUGAGAGGAGGCGAUCUUUUCAGCUUCUUCAGAAGAGAGGGAAAGAUGGUAUAA